GCCAGGCACUAUGGCACAUGCCUGUAAUCCCAGCAACUUGGGAAGCUGAGGCAGGAGGAUUGCAAGUUCAAGGCCAUCCUGGGCAAUUUAACAAGAUCUUGUCUCAA
This 107-nucleotide small RNA is filed under the name Marmota monax (woodchuck). The record is from RNAcentral. Lineage: Eukaryota; Metazoa; Chordata; Mammalia; Rodentia; Sciuridae.